GUGCUCACUUCAGCAGCACAUACACUAAAAUUGGAAUGAUAUACAGAAGAUUAGCAUGACCUCUAAAAAAUGUAAUAAUAAGAAAAACAUGGCUAAGCUUA
RNAcentral lists this small nuclear RNA (101 nucleotides) under Nomascus leucogenys (northern white-cheeked gibbon). Lineage: Eukaryota; Metazoa; Chordata; Mammalia; Primates; Hylobatidae. The record is from RNAcentral.